CAGGAUGAACGCUGGCGGCGUGCCUAAUACAUGCAAGUCGAGCGAACAGAUAAGGAGCUUGCUCCUUUGAAGUUAGCGGCGGACGGGUGAGUAACACGUGGGUAACCUACCUAUAAGACUGGGAUAACUUCGGGAAACCGGAGCUAAUACCGGAUAACAUUUAGAACCGCAUGGUUCUAAAGUGAAAGAUGGUUUUGCUAUCACUUAUAGAUGGACCCGCGCCGUAUUAGCUAGUUGGUAAGGUAACGGCUUACCAAGGCGACGAUACGUAGCCGACCUGAGAGGGUGAUCGGCCACACUGGAACUGAGACACGGUCCAGACUCCUACGGGAGGCAGCAGUAGGGAAUCUUCCGCAAUGGGCGAAAGCCUGACGGAGCAACGCCGCGUGAGUGAUGAAGGGUUUCGGCUCGUAAAACUCUGUUAUUAGGGAAGAACAAAUGUGUAAGUAACUGUGCACAUCUUGACGGUACCUAAUCAGAAAGCCACGGCUAACUACGUGCCAGCAGCCGCGGUAAUACGU
Molecule: ribosomal RNA, 521 nt
Filed under: uncultured bacterium
Lineage: Bacteria
Description: bacterial SSU rRNA
Rfam family: Bacterial small subunit ribosomal RNA
Source: RNAcentral